AGCAGUGUGGUGUAAUGGUAACAAGUAAGGCUCGUAACCAAAAAGUUGUUGGUUCAAUUUCCCACUGGGG
Megalops atlanticus (tarpon) is the source of this 70-nucleotide non-coding RNA. The record is from the annotation of a GenBank genome assembly. Lineage: Eukaryota; Metazoa; Chordata; Actinopteri; Elopiformes; Megalopidae.